This 406-nucleotide ribosomal RNA is filed under the name uncultured bacterium. Its description in RNAcentral is "partial 16S ribosomal RNA". It matches the Rfam family "Bacterial small subunit ribosomal RNA", at positions 30 to 526 of the family's 1533-position model. The record is from RNAcentral.
AUUGAACGCUGGCGGCAGGCCUAACACAUGCAAGUCGAACGAGUGGCGGACGGGUGAGUAAUGUCUGGGAACCUGCCUGAUGGAGGGGGUUAACUACUGGAAACGGUAGUUAAUACCGCAUACCAUCUGAUGCGCCCAGACGGGAUUAGCUAGUAGGUGGGGUAACGGCUCACCUAGGCCACGAUCCCUAGCUGGUCUGCGAGGAUGACCAGGCACACUGGAACUGAGACACGGUCCAGACUCCUACGGGAGGCAGCAGUGGGGAAUAUUGCGUAAUGGGCGCAAGACUGAUGCAGCCAUGCCGCGUGUAUGAAGAAGGCCUACGGGUUGUAAAGUACUUUCAGCGGGGAGGCGUUACCCGCAAAGGAAGCACCGGCUAACUCCGUGCCAGCAGCCGCGGUAAUAC